Molecule: ribosomal RNA, 306 nt
Filed under: Triticum aestivum (bread wheat)
Lineage: Eukaryota; Viridiplantae; Streptophyta; Magnoliopsida; Poales; Poaceae
Description: partial small subunit ribosomal RNA
Source: RNAcentral
AUGAUACCGACAGCACAUAAAAGGAGAUUACCAGUGAUUGCUUUGAAGUUGGACUUUCGCAAAGCUUUUGAUUUUGUUAGUUGGGAUUGCCUCACUCGGGUUUUAGAAGCCAGAGGCUUCCCCUCGCGAUGGACACAGUGGAUCCAUGCACUCCUCUCCACUGGGCGCUCCAGGGUGUUGAUCAAUGGAGAACCAGGGGAUCCCAUCUUGGCAAAGAGAGGGUUUCGGCAGGGAGACUCAUUGUCGCCAUAUCUCUUCAUCCUUGUUGCCGACGUGCUCCAACGUUUAUGUUGCUGGCAUUUUUAG